Molecule: ribosomal RNA, 700 nt
Filed under: uncultured bacterium
Lineage: Bacteria
Description: bacterial SSU rRNA
Rfam family: Bacterial small subunit ribosomal RNA
Source: RNAcentral
GGGCUGUGACUGAGUGGCGGACGGGUGAGUAACGCGUGGGUAACCUGCCCUGUACAGGGGGAUAACAGUCAGAAAUGACUGCUAAUACCGCAUAAGCGCACUGAGGUAGCAUUACCUUGUGUGAAAAACUCCGGUGGCACAGGAUGGGCCCGCGUCUGAUUAGCUUGUUGGCGGGGUAAAGGCCCACCAAGGCGACGAUCAGUAGCCGGUCUGAGAGGAUGAACGGCCACAUUGGAACUGAGACACGGUCCAAACUCCUACGGGAGGCAGCAGUGGGGAAUAUUGCACAAUGGGGGGAACCCUGAUGCAGCAACGCCGCGUGGGUGAAGAAGUAUUUCGGUAUGUAAAGCCCUAUCAGCAGGGAAGAUAAUGACGGUACCUGACUAAGAAGCUCCGGCUAAAUACGUGCCAGCAGCCGCGGUAAUACGUAUGGAGCAAGCGUUAUCCGGAUUUACUGGGUGUAAAGGGUGCGUAGGCGGCGCGCCAAGUCAGAUGUGAAAUGCCGGGGCUUAACCCCGGAGCUGCAUUUGAAACUGGCGUGCUUGAGUUCAGGAGGGGCAGGCGGAAUUCCUGGUGUAGCGGUGAAAUGCGUAGAUAUCAGGAGGAACACCAGUGGCGAAAGCGGCCUGCUGGACUGACACUGACGCUGAGGCACGAAAGCGUGGGGAGCAAACAGGAUUAGAUACCCUGGUAGUCCACG